This 196-nucleotide microRNA precursor is filed under the name Oryza rufipogon (brownbeard rice). RNAcentral's name for it is "MIR812 microRNA precursor family". It matches the Rfam family "MIR812 microRNA precursor family". Lineage: Eukaryota; Viridiplantae; Streptophyta; Magnoliopsida; Poales; Poaceae. The record is from Rfam by way of RNAcentral.
AAAAAGGCAAACCCUGGGUUUCCGUGCCAACGUUUGACUGUCCGUCUUAUAUGAAAUUUUUUAUAAUUAAUAUUUUUAUUGUUGUUAGAUGAUAAAACAUGAUUAAUACUUUAUGCGUGACUUAUCUUUUUAAUAUUUUUUCAUAAUUUUUUUAAAUAAGACAGACGGUCAAACGUUAGACACGGAAACCAGGGUU